Aspergillus coremiiformis is the source of this 130-nucleotide non-coding RNA. Lineage: Eukaryota; Fungi; Ascomycota; Eurotiomycetes; Eurotiales; Aspergillaceae. The record is from the annotation of a GenBank genome assembly.
GUGUAGUGUAGUGGUUAGCACGGAAGAUUGUACGUUCAUCUGAUCCACCCAAUUCCUACACUAAAGCUAACAUACCUCCCAGUUGAUUCCAUCAGAAAUUUCUUCAAUCCCCGGUUCGAACCCGGGCACG